This 1181-nucleotide ribosomal RNA is filed under the name Streptobacillus sp. RNAcentral's name for it is "bacterial SSU rRNA". It matches the Rfam family "Bacterial small subunit ribosomal RNA", at positions 8 to 1205 of the family's 1533-position model. The record is from RNAcentral. Lineage: Bacteria; Fusobacteriati; Fusobacteriota; Fusobacteriia; Fusobacteriales; Leptotrichiaceae.
AGAGUUUGAUCMUGGCUCAGGAUGAACGCUGACAGAAUGCUUAACACAUGCAAAUCUAUGUUAAUUAUGUAAGCUUGCUUAGAUAAGAGACAUGGUGGACUGGUGAGUAACGUGUAAAGAACUUACCUCUUAGACUGGGAUAACCAUUAGAAAUGAUGGAUAAUACUAGAUAUUAUUAGAAGUGGGCAUCUACUUUUAAUGAAAGGAGAGAUUGCUAAGAGAGAGCUUUGCAUCCUAUUAGCUAGUUGGUGGGGUAAAGGCCUACCAAGGCGAUGAUAGGUAGCCGGCCCGAGAGGGUGAACGGCCACAAGGGGACUGAGAUACGGCCCUUACUCCUACGGGAGGCAGCAGUGGGGAAUAUUGGACAAUGGAGGAAACUCUGAUCCAGCAAUUCUGUGUGCACGAAGAAGGUUUUCGGAUUGUAAAGUGCUUUCAGUAGGGAAGAAGAAAGUGACGGUACCUACAGAAGAAGCGACGGCUAAAUACGUGCCAGCAGCCGCGGUAAUACGUAUGUCGCAAGCGUUAUCCGGAAUUAUUGGGCUUAAAGGGCAUCUAGGCGGUCUAACAAGUUGAAGGUGAAAAGCUGUGGCUCAACCAUAGUCUUGCCUACAAAACUGUCAGACUAGAGUACUGGAAAGGUGGGUGGAACUACACGAGUAGAGGUGAAAUUCGUAGAUAUGUGUAGGAAUGCCGAUGAUGAAGAUAACUCACUGGACAGAAACUGACGCUGAAGUGCGAAAGCUAGGGGAGCAAACAGGAUUAGAUACCCUGGUAGUCCUAGCUGUAAACGAUGAUCACUGGGUGUGGGGGUAUAAGCCUCUGUGCCGAAGCAAAAGCGAUAAGUGAUCCGCCUGGGGAGUACGUACGCAAGUAUGAAACUCAAAGGAAUUGACGGGGACCCGCACAAGUGGUGGAGCAUGUGGUUUAAUUCGACGCAACGCGAGGAACCUUACCAGAUCUUGACAUACUCGGAAUAAGAUGGAAGCAUCUUAGUGCCUUCGGGAACCGAGAUACAGGUGGUGCAUGGCUGUCGACAGCUCGUGUCGUGAGAUGUUGGGUUAAGUCCCGCAACGAGCGAAACCCCUAUCAUUAGUUGCCAUCAUUAAGUUGGGGACUCUAAUGAAACUGCCCGCGACGAGCGGGAGGAAGGUGGGGAUGACGUCAGUCAUCMUGCCCCUUAU